CCUACGGGAGGAGGCAGCAGCUAAGAAUAUUCCGCAAUGGACGAAAGUCUGACGGAGCGACGCCGCGUGGAUGAUGAAGGCCGAAAGGUUGUAAAAUCCUUUUGUUGGGGAAGAAUAACCAUGGGAGGGAAUGCCCGUGGGAUGACAUGAACCGACGAAUAAGUCCCGGCUAACUCCGUGCCAGCAGCCGCGGUAAU
RNAcentral lists this ribosomal RNA (197 nucleotides) under uncultured Bacillota bacterium. RNAcentral describes it as "uncultured Firmicutes bacterium partial 16S ribosomal RNA". It matches the Rfam family "Bacterial small subunit ribosomal RNA", at positions 338 to 524 of the family's 1533-position model. RNAcentral also lists the same sequence under 1 other name. The record is from RNAcentral. Lineage: Bacteria; Bacillati; Bacillota.